AGUGAACGCUGGCGGUAGGCCUAACACAUGCAAGUCGAACGGCAGCACAGUAAGAGCUUGCUCUUCUGGGGGGCGGGAGGGGGCCGGGUGAGGAAACUAUCGUAAUCUACUUUUUGGUGGGGGUUAAGGAAGGGAAACUUACGCUAAUACAGCAUCGCCCUUAGGGUUGAAAGCGGGGGACCUUUGCGCCUGGCGGGGUUGAAUGAGCCGAUUCCGGAUUUGUUAGUGGGCGGGGUAAAGGCCCACCAAGGCGCGGAUCCGUAGCUGGUCUGAGAGGAUGAUCGGCCACACUGGAACUGAGACACGGUCCAGACUCCUACGGGAGGCAGCAGUGGGGAAUAUUGGACAAUGGGCGCAAGCCUGAUCCAGCCAUACCGCGUGGGUGAAGAAGGCCUUCGGGUUGUAAAGCCCUUUUGUUGGGAAAGAAAAGCAGCAGGUUAAUACCCCGCUGUUCUGACGGUACCCAAAGAAUAAGCACCGGCUAACUUCGUG
This 492-nucleotide ribosomal RNA is filed under the name uncultured bacterium. RNAcentral's name for it is "partial 16S ribosomal RNA". It matches the Rfam family "Bacterial small subunit ribosomal RNA", at positions 29 to 507 of the family's 1533-position model. The record is from RNAcentral.